RNAcentral lists this unclassified non-coding RNA (369 nucleotides) under soil metagenome. Its description in RNAcentral is "partial contains 5.8S ribosomal RNA, internal transcribed spacer 2, and large subunit ribosomal RNA". The stretch from base 1 to 119 matches the Rfam family "5.8S ribosomal RNA", at positions 35 to 154 of the family's 154-position model. The record is from RNAcentral.
GAUGAAGAACGCAGCGAAAUGCGAUAAGUAAUGUGAAUUGCAGAAUUCAGUGAACCAUCGAUCUUUGAACGCACAUUGCGCCCGGCAGUAAUCUGCCGGGCAUGCCUGUCCGAGCGUCAUUUCUACCCUCGAGCGAGUCCAGCAUCUAGGUGCUGGGCCUCGCCCGGCGUUGGAGCACUACGGGAAGCCCUGUGCUGUCCCCCGUAGGCCCCGAAAUGAAGUGGCGGUCCUGCCGCGGCGCCCCCUGCGUAGUAUAACAGCUCGCUUCGGGACCCGGUGGAGGCCUGCCGUCAAACCUAUACUCUCUAAGUUUGACCUCGGAUCAGGUAGGGUUACCCGCUGAACUUAAGCAUAUCAAUAAGCGGAGGA